ACCACGCUCGCUCUGUAGGGCCAGGCCCGGUUGGGACCGCUUGCAGCAAAGGCAAUGUGUACGCCUCUGGAGAUAGUUUAUGUCACUUUCGAGCCCCACUCACUCCAACAGUAGAACUAAACUACCUGGUCUUACAUGGAUUCUGACACUUGGCACGUUUGGCAAAUGAAUGAAUGAUCCAGUCAAUCAAUGAGUGAAUGCACGCAUGCUGAUUUAAAUUUCAGAAGAUUGUUACUGUUCAAAAGUAACUAGAUCAACAAGGGACCUCAAAGUUCUGGAGGCUGGAAGUCCAACAUCAAGGUGCCGCCAGAUUCAGUUCUUGGGCGCGGCCUGCUUCCUGACUUGCAGAGGCUGCCGUCUAGUGGUAUCCUCACCUGGCAGAGGCGACUGGUGAGAGAGAGAAGAAAAGGAAAAGAGAGGAAUUUCAAUCCCCUGGCAACAUCUCUGUGCUCCUAGAGAGAGGGACAGGAAGCAAAUCAACCAUUGUUGGACAGAGCACAUUAGUGGCUCUGGAUAGGGAACAGUGGAGAAGGAGCCAAGCAGGGGAAGAAAGAUUAAUUCCUUUCCAAUUAACAGGAGUCUGAAGUGACUGCUGUGGUAACCAGUUCCAGAGCAGGCUUUGACCAAUUUCACGCAAGUGCCAUCUGACUGCACCUCUGCCAAGCCCAUGUUGCUGGUGUCCAGGCUGCUGCCCCAGAGCUCUGACUUCAUAGUAUGGAAUGACUUUGGGAAUCCACUCAACACUCACACAUGUGCGACCCAAAAUGUGGGAGAAUUAAUGCCAUGUGGGGAGCCACCGCAUAAAUACUUCCAUCUUUCUGAAGUGUGCUGUCAGGAUAGUUUGAGACACAUUUCAUAAGGCUUCUCAGAAGGUCCUGUGAGAUUGAGCACCCAGUCAUUCAUAGCAGUGGUCAACUCAGUAACGCAUCCUUAUAUUGUCUCUCCUUCAUUCUACGAUUCAUUUUCCCCCAGCAGUGUGCUAAACUGCUCAUAUGGAUUGGCAAGAGCCAAUUGUUAAAUUUCAGGAAUUUUGCAAUUUGGUGAGUAAACACAAACACCAUUUUAAAUUAAAUUAUAUAAGCUUAAAAUUAAGUUACAUUAAAAGCAAGUAUUGGGGCCAGCCCAGUGGCACAGCAGUUAAGUUCACGCAUUCCAUUUUGGCAGCCCGGGGUUUGCCGGAUCGGAUCCCGAGUGCGGUCCUUCACACUGCCUGUCAAGCCAUGCUGUGGCAGGUGUCUCACAUAUAAAGUAGAGGAAGAUGGGCACAGAUGUUAGCUCGGGGCCAGUCUUGCUCAGCAAAAAGAGGAGGAUUGGUGGCAGAUGUUAGCUCAGGGCUAAUCUUCCUCACACAAAAAAAAAGAUACGUAUUCAGGAUUUAUCAUUUUCUAAUUAUUUUAAUGCAUCUUAUUAUCAUCAGUACUCUUGAGUUAUUCAUAUCUAUUGUAUCUGUUUGGUGGAAAUACUGUAUAAUGGUGUGCUAUGUUACAUCUCUUCCCAAGUUUCCGUUCAGCGACAUUGGCAUCUUGAUAUCAGCCAUGGUGGAAGUAUUACAUCACAGAAAUAGGCAAAUACUACAAAAGGAUUUGAUUGUUUUGUUGCUUAUUUAUACUUAAGAAAAUAAGGGAGAAAAUGUUAAUAAUGUAGAUUAAACUUAGAAGUCAGUCGUGUCUCUAACAGUUGCAUUGUGAAUGACACAAAAAAUUGUGUUCUAGACUACUAUUCAAUUCAGCAAAAAAGUCACUCAGGACAUUGAUGAAUGAAUGAAGUUGACAUAGGUCUUAGUUUCAC
Molecule: long non-coding RNA, 1788 nt
Filed under: Equus asinus (donkey)
Lineage: Eukaryota; Metazoa; Chordata; Mammalia; Perissodactyla; Equidae
Description: lncRNA (ENSEASG00005030529.1)
Source: RNAcentral